GGUGGGAGCGAGCUUGCUGGCGAUGGCGGAGUGUCAGUCAGCCUCUGUAUUUCUGACCCACCGCCAUCGCCAGCAAGCUCGCUCCCACA
Molecule: unclassified non-coding RNA, 89 nt
Filed under: Pseudomonas brassicacearum
Lineage: Bacteria; Pseudomonadati; Pseudomonadota; Gammaproteobacteria; Pseudomonadales; Pseudomonadaceae
Source: RNAcentral